This 450-nucleotide ribosomal RNA is filed under the name uncultured bacterium. RNAcentral describes it as "bacterial SSU rRNA". It matches the Rfam family "Bacterial small subunit ribosomal RNA", at positions 29 to 524 of the family's 1533-position model. The record is from RNAcentral.
AACGAACGCUGGCGGCAUGCCUAACACAUGCAAGUCGAACGAGACCUUCGGGUCUAGUGGCGCACGGGUGCGUAACGCGUGGGAAUCUGCCCUUGGGUUCGGAAUAACAGCGAGAAAUUGCUGCUAAUACCGGAUGAUGACGUAAGUCCAAAGAUUUAUCGCCCAAGGAUGAGCCCGCGUAGGAUUAGCUAGUUGGUGAGGUAAAGGCUCACCAAGGCGACGAUCCUUAGCUGGUCUGAGAGGAUGAUCAGCCACACUGGGACUGAGACACGGCCCAGACUCCUACGGGAGGCAGCAGUGGGGAAUAUUGGACAAUGGGCGAAAGCCUGAUCCAGCAAUGCCGCGUGAGUGAUGAAGGCCUUAGGGUUGUAAAGCUCUUUUACCCGGGAUGAUAACGACAGUACCGGGAGAAUAAGCUCCGGCUAACUCCGUGCCAGCAGCCGCGGUAAU